AUAAAGCGGAAACGGGGCUCGCUUUUGAAAUCAGCGCCCGCCGGCGGUGACGCGCUGUCACACGGCGCUGCGCUGCGGGCGCUUCUCGCGGGACGCGGCCACAGACGGACGUGGCCAUAGAGACGGCGCCGCCACACGCCCAGCUCGCGGAGCUGAGGGAGCCGCCCGCCGCCGCCGCCGCAGUUGUACCUGCAAACCUCGUUUAAAUGUUCCAUCUGAACAACCAAAAUGAGACUGAAGACUUCGCUUUUAAAGGAACCAAAACAUAAGGAAUUAGUUAGCUGCGUAGGAUGGACCACAGCUGACGAGCUGUAUUCCUGCAGUGAUGAUCACCAGAUUCUGAAAUGGAACCUUCUAACGAGUGAGACGACUCGAGUAGUGAAACUUCCAGAUGAUACUUAUCCCAUAGACCUUCACUGGCUUCCCAGAAGUGUUGGUGGGAAGAAGCAGUCCCAGGCUGAGAGCUUCGUUCUUACAAGUUCUGAUGGGAAAUUCCACUUAAUUUCAAAAGUGGGAAGAGUAGAGAAAAGCGUAGAAGCCCACAGCGGAGCCGUGCUUGCAGGGAGGUGGAAUUCCGAGGGAACGGCGUUGGCUACAGUUGGUGAAGAUGGCCAAGUGAAAAUCUGGUCCAAAAGUGGAAUGCUGAGAUCCACUUUAGCUCAACAAGGAACGCCGGUGUACUCAGUGGCCUGGGGACCUGAUUCUGAAAAGGUUCUCUAUACUUCAGGAAAGCAGCUCAUUAUUAAACCCCUCCAACCAAAUGUUAAAGUUUUGCAGUGGAAGGCCCACGAUGGGCUUAUUUUAAAAACCGACUGGAACUCAGUGAAUGAACUUAUCCUUUCUGCAGGUGAAGACUGUAAAUAUAAGGUUUGGGACAGUUAUGGGCAUCUUCUGUACAGCUCACAGCCCCAUGAGUAUCCAAUAACGUCUGUUGCUUGGUCUGGGGAUGGAGAAUUAUUUGCUGUGGGAUCUUUCCAUACUUUACGUCUAUGUGAUAAAACUGGGUGGUCCUAUGCUUUAGAGAAGCCAAACACUGGCAGCAUAUUUAAUAUUGCUUGGUCUGUGGAUGGCACUCAACUGGCUGGAGCUUGUGGGAAUGGACAUGUCAUUUUUGCCCAUGUUGUGGAGCAACGCUGGGAGUGGAAGAACUUUGAAAUAACAUUGAUUAAGAGAAGAACCAUGCAGGUGCACAAUGUUAUCAAUGAUGCAGUCGAUUUGCUGGAGUUCCGUGACAGAGUUAUUAAGGCCUCUUUGAACUAUGGGCAUUUGGUUGUUUCAACUUCUCUUCAGUGUUACAUAUUUUCCACAAAUAACUGGAAUACACCACUUAUCUUUGACCUGAAGGAAGGAACAGUUACUUUGAUUCUACAAGCAGAAAGGCAUUUUCUUCUUGUAGAUGGUGGAGGACUUUAUUUAUACUCUUAUGAAGGAAGAUUAAUUUCCUCUCCAAAAUUUCCAGGAAUGAGAACAGACAUUUUAAAUGCCCAGACAGUAUCUUUGAGUAAUGAUACUCUGGCAGUCAAAGACAAAGCUGAUGAAAAGGUCAUCUAUAUAUUUGAUGCUAUAUCUGGCAAGACACUAGGAGAUGGAAAAUCUCUAACCCAUAAGACAGAAAUUGUGGAGAUUGCAUUGGACCAGAAAGGACUCACAAAUGAAAGAAAAAUAGCUUUUAUUGAUAAGAACAGAGACCUUUACAUUACUUCAGUUAAAAGGUUUGGAAAGGAACAGAAAAUUAUCAAAAUAGGAACAAUGGUUCAAACGUUGGCUUGGAACGACACAUCUAACUUACUCUGUGGGAUUCAGGAUACCCGUUUUACAGUCUGGUACUACCCCAACACUGUCUAUGUAGAUAAGGAUCUUUUGACAAAAACUCUGUAUGAAAAAGAUGCAAGUGAUUUCAGCAAAAACCCUCAGAUUGUACAUUUUGUUGGAAAUCAAAUAACAAUCAGAAGAGCAGAUGGUUCACUUAUUCACGUUAAUAUUUCACCUUACCCUGUGAUUCUUCAUGAGUAUGUUAGUAGCUCUAAGUGGGAAGAUGCUGUCAGGUUGUGUCGCUUUGUCAAGGAUCAAACCAUGUGGGCAUGUUUAGCUGCUAUGGCAGUUGCCAACAAAGACAUGGCUACUGCAGAAAUUGCCUAUGCAUCAAUUGGUGAGAUAGACAAAGUUCAGUACAUCAAUUCCAUCAAAGAUCUUCCAUCGAAAGAGUCAAGGAUGGCUCAUAUGCUGUUGUUCAGUGGAAACACACAAGAAGCUGAAACCCUACUCCUUCAAACAGGCCUUAUUUAUCAAGCUAUUCAAGUCAACAUUAAUCUCUACAAUUGGGAUAGGGCACUAGAGCUAGCAGUAAAGCACAAGACACAUGUUGACACCGUCCUGGCUUAUCGACAGAAGUUCCUAGAGGACUUUGGUAAAAAAGAAACAAACAAAAGAUUCUUGCAGUAUGCAGAAGGUCUGGAAGUUGACUGGAAUAAAAUCAAAGCCAAAAUAGAGAUGGAAAUUGCUAAAGAAAGAGAACGAGCAGCAGCCAGUGCCACAGAGGCUGAACCUGUUUUCCUGCCCUUUUUCUGGUGGAUUGGAAGCUCGGAGCAUUCUGGAUGUUAAGAUUGCAUGUUGGGUAUGAACCCAGUGGCUGAUUACACUGGUGGCACUGGUGUGCACACCAAGCCCUGCAAGCACAGCUGUGGGACCAGGCUUGGAAAAGGGCAUUUCUUACAGCAGAGCAGUGCAGGAGCUGGAAGCCCAGAUGGGCACAGCUCUCUGCCAUGCAUGGGGCUCUGGAGAAUCACUGAUGGGAUCUUUAUGGCAAAUACGGCGGUGAGUAACCAGCAUUGCACAGUGCAAAGCAUUAAUAAAGUGCUGCAUUUUAACAGCCUUUCUGAUCAGCUACAUCUUCAGCGUCAGAGCAUCAUGAAAUAUUAAGGCCUGCUGAUGGCUCAGGAAAGCCAACAUUUUGGUGAGCCCCCUGUCACAGGAUGUGGUUGAGGACCAGCAGCUGUAGGUAGGCAAAGCGGGGAUGGAGGCAGUGGGGCUGCCAGCUGUGCAGCCAGAUGUGCCACAGCUUGGGGAGAGCUGCUCAGGGCCAGGCUCCUGAAGUUCUCUUAAACAAGCAAGCCUAGAGCCAGGGGAUGGCGUCUGUAUUAGAGCUCACAUUCAACAGCUCAAAGCUUCAUAAAUAAUGAUCCAGAGCACCAAAAGCUUCUGGCAGAUCAAUGCAAGCAGCUAUCAGAAGUAACAAGUGUCCCUGUGCACUGGUGUUGUCUCAGUCAUAGAAUUACAGAAUCAUUCUAGUUGGUAAAGAUCAUCUAAGAUCAAGUCCAACCAUCAACCCAUCAGUUGGACACCUACAUUUAACAUGCAUUCUGUUAGCCAGCUGGACACCCACUUACGCAUCUCCAACUUAUUUCUUGCAACUCAAAAAACAAUCCCAAAUAAGCCUUGGUUGUGAUGCUGGGUGAGCAAUGUGCAUGCUGGGACCAGGGAAGAAGAACCCUAAUCUUUGGGAAAAUAUCCAGAAAUAGAGGGCUGGAGAGCAAGAACUCAUUGCCAUGGCCAAUGUUUCCCAGCAGAAAGCAUGGCGUAGGUUUGGCUGUGGGAAUUUUCGGUUUACAUACAGAUAUAUCAUGUGUGUCUUGCAAGAUGUGAGGCACUCACUGGAGUCUCAGCAUUUCUGGAAGGAGCCAAAAGCUGCCUCUCCCCAGCUUUGCAAGGACUGUGCAGUCAUCGAUCCUGCAAAUGCCCCCUGCAGAAAUCCAUCAAUUCCUUGGAGCAGCAGUUAUUAAAGGCUUGACUUCCAACUGGCGCCGAAGAGCUGACCUGGCCAAAUAGUUACUUUAUAGAGGGUUUCAUUUUCCUGGCGACCAUCACCAUUUGUGUAACUCUAAACCCGUCCUCACAAAGCCUGCUACCUGCACUGCCCUUGGUAGAAUGAUACUUCACAUCAGCCUUGCCCUUUCUUUUACAUUUCCUCCAAAUAUGGGGAAAGUAAUAAGGAAGAAGCACAACGAAGUUUCCUUUUGGCAGGGCCCAUUGCACAGCAGUUUGCAGCAGAAAUAAUCCUGUAGCUCCAAGGAGGGAUGCAGAGUGCUGGACGACAACAUAGAUCUGAAAUGGAAACAGACCCUUGAAGGACUUCACAACACUCAAACCAAUUUGCCAAAGUGAAGAAUAAGUAGUUGUUAAAAGUUCUGCAAAACCAGGAACUGAUGGAAAUGCCCAGGCAUGGCCUGCUUCGAUCCCUGCUCAGCUGGGGAGAGCUCUGAAUUGCUUGAAUUAAAACCACAGAGCUGAGCUCUAUUACUGCAUACUUCUCAGCACAUCUGUAACUGCAAUAGGCUUCAGAAACAAGAAGAUGACUCUGCAUGUGUAUGUCAUUACCUCACAGCUCAGAAAUCUCUACUGCCAGCAAAUAUUUUCUUCUAGACUAUUAAAAAAAGGGAAAGUGAGUGAGAGAAGCUCGAGCACGCGUGCAUGGCCACCAGUCCUUCCCGCACGAGGUGUUCUCUUCUGCUUAAUGAUUCUGGGUGUUCUCAGAAAUGAAGUGAUGGGUAGGAUCUAAGCAUUCUUCUUCACUGCAACUGGGUCUUGAACCAUCCUAAUGUUGGAGAUGAUCCCAUUCAUUCGCUGGGUUUUGGCUGAGUCUUCUGGUAUUGCAAGUAACGAGCACCUCCACACCUAAUGCUCAUCUAAAAAGUAGCUCACAGAACAAGCAGGAUUUGUUGGAUGGCAGUUUGUUGAUUAACAAUGUUAAUUUCUGCUGACAGCCCCUGGAUCCCAGCACUGUCCAUGUGCCGGCAGCCGGCGUGCUGCUGCUUGGUGUAGUGCAGAAAUGCUGAAAUGCGUUAAAACACAGCAACAGCUCAAGGCCCAUCAAGCACCAUUUGUCACAGCAGGAAGGACUGCUGCCAUGCUCUGGAAUAAUAAAAUAAAGUCAUUAUUUUUUUAAACAGGGGGCAACAUUUUCCCCAGCCGCUGCUCUCUUGUUAGUCACACCGGUUCUCCAGGGCCUGCAGUGAUACAGUCAUGAAUUUCUGAGAUGAUUUCAUCUCACUGUUAUUUACAACUUAGCUCCAAAACUCAGGCUCUUCCUAUUAUUUGUGGUUAAAUAUAGCAGUGGAUUCUUUCCCAUUCCUCCUCCUCUCGGCGCGGUCCCUCUGCCACCCACACAACUCGCAUGAAUCACAGGGCACACACAUCCCGGGGUCACUGUGAGCACAGGAGGUGAAACCAUGUCCAUGUGCUGGAGCCCAGCAUGCAGGGAUGGUCCCGGUCCUCUGGCAUCCCCAGCAUCCCAGGACAAGGGGGAAUGGUUUUAAACUGAAGCAGGGGAAGUUUAGAUUGGAUAUUAGGAGGAAGUUU
This is a non-coding RNA of Phasianus colchicus (ring-necked pheasant), 5355 nucleotides long. The record is from RefSeq and is a predicted model, not a curated record. NCBI's taxonomy places the organism in Eukaryota, Metazoa, Chordata, Aves, Galliformes, Phasianidae.